Molecule: long non-coding RNA, 204 nt
Organism: Myiozetetes cayanensis
Lineage: Eukaryota; Metazoa; Chordata; Aves; Passeriformes; Tyrannidae
Exons: 3
Source: RefSeq, a predicted model, not a curated record
GGCUACCCCUCCCUCCUCCACACCAAAAAGUGGCCGCCUACAUCAGCCUGGACCGCGCCGUGCUGGGUGCCGACAGGUUCGUGGUGAGGACGAGCCCCACGUUGGUGAAUUUGGUGAGAGCGCCCUGGGGCAGGUGGAAAGCCCCAAGGAGGGCGGGAAGAGCCUCCUGGAGCAGUUGGGGAGGGGCUGGGAGAGCGACGUGUG